Molecule: transfer RNA, 58 nt
Filed under: Mus musculus (house mouse)
Lineage: Eukaryota; Metazoa; Chordata; Mammalia; Rodentia; Muridae
Also listed under: 1 other name
Rfam family: tRNA
About the family: Transfer RNA (tRNA) molecules are approximately 80 nucleotides in length. Their secondary structure includes four short double-helical elements and three loops (D, anti-codon, and T loops).
Source: Rfam by way of RNAcentral
UGGCUCAGCAGGUAAGAGCACUGGCUGUUCUUCCAGAGGACCUGGGUUCAAUUCCCAG